This 80-nucleotide transfer RNA is filed under the name Bacteroidota bacterium. Its description in RNAcentral is "tRNA-Val". It matches the Rfam family "tRNA". From Rfam's summary of the family: Transfer RNA (tRNA) molecules are approximately 80 nucleotides in length. Their secondary structure includes four short double-helical elements and three loops (D, anti-codon, and T loops). Further hydrogen bonds mediate the characteristic L-shaped molecular structure. tRNAs have two regions of fundamental functional importance: the anti-codon, which is responsible for specific mRNA codon recognition, and the 3' end, to which the tRNAs corresponding amino acid is attached (by aminoacyl-tRNA synthetases). tRNAs cope with the degeneracy of the genetic code in two manners: having more than one tRNA (with a specific anti-codon) for a particular amino acid; and 'wobble' base-pairing, i.e. permitting non-standard base-pairing at the 3rd anti-codon position. The record is from RNAcentral. Lineage: Bacteria; Pseudomonadati; Bacteroidota. RNAcentral also lists the same sequence under 1 other name.
GGGAUAUUAGCUCAGUUGGUUUAGAGCGCUGUCUUGACAGGGCAGAGGUCACUGGUUCGAAUCGAAUCCAGCAUAUCCCC